GAAGUGGAGCAGAAGAGUGAUCAU
RNAcentral lists this non-coding RNA (24 nucleotides) under Arabidopsis thaliana (thale cress). Lineage: Eukaryota; Viridiplantae; Streptophyta; Magnoliopsida; Brassicales; Brassicaceae. The record is from RNAcentral.